RNAcentral lists this ribosomal RNA (620 nucleotides) under uncultured bacterium. RNAcentral describes it as "bacterial SSU rRNA". It matches the Rfam family "Bacterial small subunit ribosomal RNA", at positions 11 to 642 of the family's 1533-position model. The record is from RNAcentral.
GUUUGAUCCUGGCUCAGGACGAACGCUGGCGGCGUGCUUAACACAUGCAAGUCGAACGGUGACGCUGGAGCUUGCUCCAGCUGAUCAGUGGCGAACGGGUGAGUAACACGUGAGCAACCUGCCCUUGACUCUGGGAUAACCCCGGGAAACCGGAGCUAAUACCGGAUACGAACCGCACAGGCAUCUGCGUGGUUGGAAAGAUUUAUCGGUCAAGGAUGGGCUCGCGGCCUAUCAGCUUGUUGGUGGGGUAACGGCCCACCAAGGCGACGACGGGUAGCCGGCCUGAGAGGGCGACCGGCCACACUGGGACUGAGACACGGCCCAGACUCCUACGGGAGGCAGCAGUGGGGAAUAUUGCACAAUGGGCGGAAGCCUGAUGCAGCGACGCCGCGUGGGGGAUGACGGUCUUCGGAUUGUAAACCCCUUUCAGUAGGGACGAAGCGCAAGUGACGGUACCUGCAGAAGAAGCACCGGCCAACUACGUGCCAGCAGCCGCGGUAAUACGUAGGGUGCGAGCGUUGUCCGGAAUUACUGGGCGUAAAGAGCUCGUAGGCGGUUUGUCACGUCGUCUGUGAAAUCCUCCAGCUUAACUGGGGGCGUGCAGGCGAUACGGGCAGACU